This 261-nucleotide ribosomal RNA is filed under the name uncultured bacterium. RNAcentral describes it as "partial 16S ribosomal RNA". It matches the Rfam family "Bacterial small subunit ribosomal RNA", at positions 793 to 1055 of the family's 1533-position model. The record is from RNAcentral.
GUCCACACUGUAAACGAUGAUUACUAGGUGUUGGAGGAUUGACCCCUUCAGUGCCGCAGUUAACACAAUAAGUAAUCCACCUGGGGAGUACGACCGCAAGGUUGAAACUCAAAGGAAUUGACGGGGGCCCGCACAAGCAGUGGAGUAUGUGGUUUAAUUCGACGCAACGCGAAGAACCUUACCAAGUCUUGACAUCCAUCGACGACUAUAGAAAUAUAGUUUUCCUUCGGGACGGUGAGACAGGUGGUGCAUGGUUGUCGU